RNAcentral lists this ribosomal RNA (470 nucleotides) under uncultured bacterium. Its description in RNAcentral is "bacterial SSU rRNA". It matches the Rfam family "Bacterial small subunit ribosomal RNA", at positions 8 to 526 of the family's 1533-position model. The record is from RNAcentral.
AGAGUUUGAUCCUGGCUCAGAGCGAACGCUGGCGGCAGGCCUAACACAUGCAAGUCGAGCGCACCUUUCGGGGUGAGCGGCGGACGGGUGAGUAACACGUGGGAACGUGCCCUUCGGUUCGGGAUAACUCAGGGAAACUUGAGCUAACACCGGAUACGCCCUAACGGGGAAAGGUUACGCCGAAGGAGCGGCCCGCGUCGGAUUAGCUUGUUGGUGGGGUAAAGGCCCACCAAGGCGACGAUCCGUAGCUGGUCUGAGAGGAUGAUCAGCCACACUGGGACUGAGACACGGCCCAGACUCCUACGGGAGGCAGCAGUGGGGAAUCUUGCGCAAUGGGCGAAAGCCUGACGCAGCCAUGCCGCGUGAAUGAUGAAGGUCUUAGGAUUGUAAAAUUCUUUCAGCGGGGACGAUAAUGACGGUACCCGCAGAAGAAGCCCCGGCUAACUUCGUGCCAGCCGCCGCGGUAAUAC